GUGCCAGCAGCCGCGGUAAUACGUAGGUGGCAAGCGUUGUCCGGAAUUAUUGGGCGUAAAGCGCGCGCAGGCGGUCCUUUAAGUCUGAUGUGUAAAGCGCCACGGCUCAACCGUGGAGGGUCAUUGGAAACUGGGGGACUUGAGUACAGAAGAGGAAAGACGGAAUUCCACGUGUAGCGGUGAAAUGCGUAGAGAUGUGGAGGAACACCAGUGGCGAAGGCGGCUUUCUGGUCUGUAACUGACGCUGAGGCGCGAAAGCGUGGGGAGCAAACAGGAUUAGAUACCCUGGUAGUCC
RNAcentral lists this ribosomal RNA (295 nucleotides) under uncultured microorganism. RNAcentral's name for it is "partial 16S ribosomal RNA". It matches the Rfam family "Bacterial small subunit ribosomal RNA", at positions 505 to 796 of the family's 1533-position model. The record is from RNAcentral.